AGACUUUGAUUAUGGCUCAGAGUGAACGCUGGCGGUAGGCCUAACACAUGCAAGUCGAACGGCAGCACAGAGGAGCUUGCUCCUUGGGUGGCGAGUGGCGGACGGGUGAGGAAUACAUCGGAAUCUACUCUGUCGUGGGGGAUAACGUAGGGAAACUUACGCUAAUACCGCAUACGACCUACGGGUGAAAGCAGGGGAUCUUCGGACCUUGCGCGAUUGAAUGAGCCGAUGUCGGAUUAGCUAGUUGGCGGGGUAAAGGCCCACCAAGGCGACGAUCCGUAGCUGGUCUGAGAGGAUGAUCAGCCACACUGGAACUGAGACACGGUCCAGACUCCUACGGGAGGCAGCAGUGGGGAAUAUUGGACAAUGGGCGCAAGCCUGAUCCAGCCAUACCGCGUGGGUGAAGAAGGCCUUCGGGUUGUAAAGCCCUUCUGUUGGGAAAGAAAUCCAGCUGGCUAAUACCCGGUUGGGAUGACGGUACCCAAAGAAUAAGCACCGGCUAACUUCGUGCCAGCAGCCGCGGUAAUACGAAGGGUGCAAGCGUUACUCGGAAUUACUGGGCGUAAAGCGUGCUGUAGGUGGUCGUUUAAGUCCCGUUGUGAAAGCCCUGGGCUCAACCUUGGGAACUGCAGUGGAUACUUGGACGACUAGAGUGUUGGUAGAGGGUAGCGGAAUUCCUGGUGUAGGCAGUGAAAUGCGUAGAGAUCAGGAGGAACAUUCAAUGGCGAAAGGCAGGCUACCUGGACCAAACACUGACACUGAGGGCACGAA
Molecule: ribosomal RNA, 771 nt
Filed under: uncultured bacterium
Lineage: Bacteria
Description: bacterial SSU rRNA
Rfam family: Bacterial small subunit ribosomal RNA
Source: RNAcentral